RNAcentral lists this ribosomal RNA (497 nucleotides) under uncultured bacterium. RNAcentral describes it as "partial 16S ribosomal RNA". It matches the Rfam family "Bacterial small subunit ribosomal RNA", at positions 28 to 507 of the family's 1533-position model. The record is from RNAcentral.
GAUGAACGCUGGCGGCGUGCCUAAUACAUGCAAGUCGAGCGAACAGAUGAGGAGCUUGCUCCUCUGACGUUAGCGGCGGACGGGUGAGUAACACGUGGAUAACCUACCUAUAAGACUGGGAUAACUUCGGGAAACCGGAGCUAAUACCGGAUAAUAUGUUGAACCGCAUGGUUCAAUAGUGAAAGACGGUUUUGCUGUCACUUAUAGAUGGAUCCGCGCCGCAUUAGCUAGUUGGUAAGGUAACGGCUUACCAAGGCAACGAUGCGUAGCCGACCUGAGAGGGUGAUCGGCCACACUGGAACUGAGACACGGUCCAGACUCCUACGGGAGGCAGCAGUAGGGAAUCUUCCGCAAUGGGCGAAAGCCUGACGGAGCAACGCCGCGUGAGUGAUGAAGGUCUUCGGAUCGUAAAACUCUGUUAUUAGGGAAGAACAAAUGUGUAAGUAACUAUGCACGUCUUGACGGUACCUAAUCAGAAAGCCACGGCUAACUACGUG